UUUCCAGGCAAAUCCGGAAAAUCAAGGCUGAGGCGUGAUGACGAGGCACUACGGUGCUGAAGCAACAAAUGCCCUGCUUCCAGGAAAAGCCUCUAAGCAUCAGGUAACAUCAAAUCGUACCCCAAACCGACACAGGUGGUCAGGUAGAGAAUACCAAGGCGCUUGAGAGAACUCGGGUGAAGGAACUAGGCAAAAUGGUGCCGUAACUUCGGGAGAAGGCACGCUGAUAUGUAGGUGAAGUCCCUCGCGGAUGGAGCUGAAAUCAGUCGAAGAUACCAGCUGGCUGCAACUGUUUAUUAAAAACACAGCACUGUGCAAACACGAAAGUGGACGUAUACGGUGUGACGCCUGCCCGGUGCCGGAAGGUUAAUUGAUGGGGUCAGCGCAAGCGAAGCUCUUGAUCGAAGCCCCGGUAAACGGCGGCCGUAACUAUAACGGUCCUAAGGUAGCGAAAUUCCUUGUCGGGUAAGUUCCGACCUGCACGAAUGGCGUAAUGAUGGCCAGGCUGUCUCCACCCGAGACUCAGUGAAAUUGAACUCGCUGUGAAGAUGCAGUGUACCCGCGGCAAGACGGAAAGACCCCGUGAACCUUUACUAUAGCUUGACACUGAACAUUGAGCCUUGAUGUGUAGGAUAGGUGGGAGGCUUAGAAGUGUGGACGCCAGUCUGCAUGGAGCCGACCUUGAAAUACCACCCUUUAAUGUUUGAUGUUCUAACGUUGACCCGUAAUCCGGGUUGCGGACAGUGUCUGGUGGGUAGUUUGACUGGGGCGGUCUCCUCCUAAAGAGUAACGGAGGAGCACGAAGGUUGGCUAAUCCUGGUCGGACAUCAGGAGGUUAGUGCAAUGGCAUAAGCCAGCUUGACUGCGAGCGUGACGGCGCGAGCAGGUGCGAAAGCAGGUCAUAGUGAUCCGGUGGUUCUGAAUGGAAGGGCCAUCGCUCAACGGAUAAAAGGUACUCCGGGGAUAACAGGCUGAUACCGCCCAAGAGUUCAUAUCGACGGCGGUGUUUGGCACCUCGAUGUCGGCUCAUCACAUCCUGGGGCUGAAGUAGGUCCCAAGGGUAUGGCUGUUCGCCAUUUAAAGUGGUACGCGAGCUGGGUUUAGAACGUCGUGAGACAGUUCGGUCCCUAUCUGCCGUGGGCGCUGGAGAACUGAGGGGGGCUGCUCCUAGUACGAGAGGACCGGAGUGGACGCAUCACUGGUGUUCGGGUUGUCAUGCCAAUGGCACUGCCCGGUAGCUAAAUGCGGAAGAGAUAAGUGCUGAAAGCAUCUAAGCACGAAACUUGCCCCGAGAUGAGU
This 1299-nucleotide ribosomal RNA is filed under the name Escherichia coli. RNAcentral's name for it is "partial 23S ribosomal RNA". It matches the Rfam family "Bacterial large subunit ribosomal RNA", at positions 1529 to 2809 of the family's 2925-position model. The record is from RNAcentral. Lineage: Bacteria; Pseudomonadati; Pseudomonadota; Gammaproteobacteria; Enterobacterales; Enterobacteriaceae.